Non-coding RNA from Xyrichtys novacula (pearly razorfish), 2127 nucleotides. NCBI's taxonomy places the organism in Eukaryota, Metazoa, Chordata, Actinopteri, Labriformes, Labridae. The record is from the annotation of a GenBank genome assembly.
ACUGAAGACAAUGGAGAGACAACACCAGUAUCACUGACUGUGUUCUUACCCUGUGAGUUUGUUUUGUUUAAUUCGUUAUACGACUCAUCUUUGAUUUAUUAUCCUGACUUGUAUAUAAUUUUAUGGUUAAGAAAAGAUGUUUCUGAGUUUGCAUAUAUUUAAGGUGGCCAUAUUCUAAAUCCCCAAAAAGAGGACAUGACCGCGGGGGUGGAGUCACAGAAUCGUGCAUAGUUAAUUUUGAGAGUUUUUCAGGUGAGCUUGAGUGUUUUUAACACGCUUCUAACUCGGUAAGUCCACGGGACACAAACUCAAAACUUCCAAACAAAACUGCAAAUAUUUGAGGGAUUUUAUAAACUCCCUCAGAGUUUUAGAGCGCACAGUCCAAAAUUUGACUGAACAGGAAAAUAAGUACGUAAAAGCGCCACCUAGUGACAACAAUCCUGAAUUGGAUGAAGUGAGCCACAACCGCAUUUGCUGGUUUGUUGACAGCACGGGCGUAAAUACAACUCUUCUUUUUCUUCUGCGGUUGUUUUAGUGAAAUCAGACAACUCUGCACGUGUCCAAAUGAUUCUAAUCUGAAUAAAACUCAGUGCAUGUAAACGCACGUCAUGAUCGGAUUAUUUGAUUUUGCACCCAUAUCAACAAUAGAUUCAGAUUUUCUGAUCCCUCAAAUUUUUAAUCGGAUCAAGAAAAUUUGAGAGAUGAAGUUCACAUUAAAUCAGCAUAGCUAACCUUUAACAGUCUAAUAUCCUCUCUUAGUUGUCCCUGGUGUUACUCUUCCUAUUCAUGGUAUUUAUGGUGGUAUUUGGACCAAUCAGAGUCAAGUAUUUAACACAGCUGGGAGAUAAAGGAUGGGAAUCUUUCCACAUUAGCUGUAUGUAAAGAUGUUUAAGGUUCAAAACUGUAAAAAAAAGGAAAAAUCCACUUGCACGACUUCCUUUUAAGGGCUGGACACAGAUAACGGAGGCUGUUGGAAACAGGACGGACAGCUGCACACUGAGACAAAACAUCAAAACGCAGGCCACAGAUGUACGCAAUUAGCAACAUGGUAGACAUUUGGGGAGCAAAGGUCCAUAAACUCGCAACUUAUUAUGGUUGAUCUAACAUGGCUGGAGGGGAGCCGAAACUCAACAUCAUUAAUGGGCUUUAAGUUUGGGCUGGAACAUUCCUACGUCCAGAAUUCAACGUCAACAAACGGCUGCUAUAAAAGCCUUCUCAGAUCUUUAAUAUGAGUUUUCUAUGCUAAUAAAAACCUUAUCCCAAACAUGCAUGUGUGCAUGUCUUUACAGUGGAAGAGUACAGACGUGAACGAGAGGGAGAGAGCGUCUCAACAUGUGUCCCGUCAUUAGGAAACACUUAGCUUCCUGUUUGUGUAAAUAUUGUCUUAUUUUGUUUUGAAAGAGAGCGGGCUUGAAUAAUCACCGCUGACCCCUCUGCCCUCCGGUUUCCUGCUCAUCACGUGGACGCGGCUCACCUUCUGCUGAGACCAGAGGUAGCGGGCUGUCGUGACCCGUCAGAGGUCUGCUGUCAGGAAUGGAUGGAUCCUCCAAAGGUCAUGAGCGACAGCCACUGAUACCAAUGGGUAACAGCUGUUGGGCCAGUGGGCAUGGAGGACUUUUAAACUCUGUACAAAGACAAAAAUACCUCAAACAUUCUUACGGAGAUUAGUGUACGAGGUGAUAUCACCGCGGUAAGAUUCAUCGCACAGAUCGGCGAGGCUCAGGUUCACAGUAAAUCCUGAACACGGGCUCUUCUACGUCUUCUCGAGGAGUAAAACUUAUCAUAACUUAUUUGUGAAGUGGAAAUCUCAUAAACUUGCAGGGAUGUUCCAGAUGCAGCUGUCUGAAACUUUGAAAUAUUACAUGAUAAAUCUCUCAGCUCUGUAUUUCUCUAAGAUUUCUGGAAUGAUACCCUUAAAAUUUCUUUAUCCGUGGCAGCCAUCACCUGUCUUUCAUCUUUUAUGAAUGUUUUGUACUGACAGUUUGAUUUCUUGGUAUUCUCCUCCAAGAAAUAAUGGUUUUUGGAAAUGUUUGGGGGCCAUCUGUGACCAAGAUGCUGUGGUCUGAACUCUGGAUUUUAUCUUGAUAUUUAUGCACCAAUUCUCACACUCUAAAGUUAGCUCAGAAA